ACUCAAAUGAAUAGACGGGGGCCCGCACAAGCAGCGGAGCGUGUGGUUUAAUUCGAGGCUACACGAAGAACCUUACCUGGGUUUGACAUCUGGCUAGUACCGAGCUGAAAGGCGAGGGACCGCAAGGAGGCCAGACAGGUGCUGCAUGGCUGUCGUCAGCUCGUGCCGUGAGGUGUUAGGUUAAGUCCUGUAACGAGCGCAACCCCCAGAGCUAGUUAAAUCGUCUAGUUCGACUGCCCGCGACAAGCGGGAGGAAGGCGGGGAUGACGUCAAGUCAGCAUGGCCUUUAUAUCCAGGGCUACACACACGCUACAAUGGUCGGUACAAUGGGUCGCCAACCCGCAAGGGGGAGCCAAUCCUAUCAAAGCCGGCCUCAGUUCAGAUUGUGGGCUGCAACCCGCCCACAUGAAGUUGGAGUUGCUAGUAACCGCGCGUCAGCCAUAGUGCGGUGAAUACGUUCCCGGGCCUUGCACACACCGCCCGU
Molecule: ribosomal RNA, 484 nt
Filed under: uncultured bacterium
Lineage: Bacteria
Description: partial 16S ribosomal RNA
Rfam family: Bacterial small subunit ribosomal RNA
Source: RNAcentral